Molecule: ribosomal RNA, 540 nt
Filed under: fungal sp.
Lineage: Eukaryota; Fungi
Description: eukaryotic LSU rRNA
Rfam family: 5.8S ribosomal RNA (bases 197-350)
Source: RNAcentral
UCCGUUGGGGUAACCUGCGGAGGGAUCAUUACACAAAUAUGAAGGCGGGCUGGAACCUCUCGGGGUUACAGCCUUGCUGAAUUAUUCACCCUUGUCUUUUGCGUACUUCUUGUUUCCUUGGUGGGUUCGCCCACCACUAGGACAAACAUAAACCUUUUGUAAUUGCAAUCAGCGUCAGUAACAAAUUAAUAAUUACAACUUUCAACAACGGAUCUCUUGGUUCUGGCAUCGAUGAAGAACGCAGCGAAAUGCGAUAAGUAGUGUGAAUUGCAGAAUUCAGUGAAUCAUCGAAUCUUUGAACGCACAUUGCGCCCUUUGGUAUUCCAAAGGGCAUGCCUGUUCGAGCGUCAUUUGUACCCUCAAGCUUUGCUUGGUGUUGGGCGUCUUGUCUCUAGCUUUGCUGGAGACUCGCCUUAAAGUAAUUGGCAGCCGGCCUACUGGUUUCGGAGCGCAGCACAAGUCGCACUCUCUAUCAGCAAAGGUCUAGCAUCCAUUAAGCCUUUUUUUCAACUUUGACCUCGAUCAGUAGAUCCCGGUUUC